CAUACAGGCCAAGACACCAACCAGGUAAAGAUACUGACCAGGUAAUGCUGAUGAUGCCGUUUUAUUGUCAACCACAUGCAUAAGAUUUAGAAGACUUCUGAGAUCCUUCUCCACUUACUGUAAUGAAGAACAACUAAUAAUUAACAAUGCUAAAACUAAGAUUAUGGUGGACUACUGAAUCAAUGGACUGUAACGGUUACUGUGGAGCACUGCAGCCUUUUAAUGAAUAUCCAUGGACGGCCAGAC
Pogona vitticeps (central bearded dragon) is the source of this 246-nucleotide non-coding RNA. NCBI's taxonomy places the organism in Eukaryota, Metazoa, Chordata, Lepidosauria, Squamata, Agamidae. The record is from RefSeq and is a predicted model, not a curated record.